GUUAAGCGACUAAGCGUACACGGUGGAUGCCCUGGCAGUCAGAGGCGAUGAAGGGCGUGCUAAUCUGCGAUAAGCGCCGGUAAGGUGAUAUGAACCGUUAUAACCGGCGAUACCCGAAUGGGGAAACCCAGUGUGAUUCGUCACACUAUCAUUAACUGAAUCCAUAGGUUAAUGAGGCGAACCGGGGGAACUGAAACAUCUAAGUACCCCGAGGAAAAGAAAUCAACCGAGAUUCCCCCAGUAGCGGCGAGCGAACGGGGAGGAGCCCAGAGCCUGAAUCAGCAUGUGUGUUAGUGGAAGCGUCUGGAAAGGCGCGCGAUACAGGGUGACAGCCCCGUACACAAAAGCGCAUGUGCUGUGAGCUCGAUGAGUAGGGCGGGACACGUGGUAUCCUGUCUGAAUAUGGGGGGACCAUCCUCCAAGGCUAAAUACUCCUGACUGACCGAUAGUGAACCAGUACCGUGAGGGAAAGGCGAAAAGAACCCCGGCGAGGGGAGUGAAAAAGAACCUGAAACCGUGUACGUACAAGCAGUGGGAGCACAGGUUUACCUGUGUGACUGCGUACCUUUUGUAUAAUGGGUCAGCGACUUAUAUUCUGUAGCAAGGUUAACCGUAUAGGGGAGCCGUAGGGAAACCGAGUCUUAAC
This 646-nucleotide ribosomal RNA is filed under the name Salmonella enterica subsp. enterica serovar Bareilly. RNAcentral's name for it is "partial 23S ribosomal RNA". It matches the Rfam family "Bacterial large subunit ribosomal RNA", at positions 1 to 688 of the family's 2925-position model. RNAcentral also lists the same sequence under 2 other names. The record is from RNAcentral. Lineage: Bacteria; Pseudomonadati; Pseudomonadota; Gammaproteobacteria; Enterobacterales; Enterobacteriaceae.